This 1252-nucleotide ribosomal RNA is filed under the name Macropanesthia kinkuna. RNAcentral's name for it is "16S ribosomal RNA". The stretch from base 1015 to 1173 matches the Rfam family "Archaeal large subunit ribosomal RNA", at positions 2542 to 2701 of the family's 2987-position model. The record is from RNAcentral. Lineage: Eukaryota; Metazoa; Arthropoda; Insecta; Blattodea; Blaberidae.
GAAAAAAUUAUUUUGUUUGUUUUUGUAUUUAUUAAUAAUUUAAUUUUUUUGNUGAUAAAGUAUUUGUACUGUGAAGGUUUAUUGAGAUAAUAAUAAGUUAUUAAUUAAGUUUAUUUUAUUUGUAGUACCUUGUGUAUCAGGAUUAAUUAAUUAUUUANUAUAAAUUUUANUAUUCCCGAUUUCAUAAGAGUUAAUUUAUUAUUUUAGUUAUUGUUUUAUAAAUAUUAAUAAUAAUNAAUUGGUAGUGAAAUGUUAAUCGUUUAUGAGGAUAUCUGGUUUUUUGGGAAAUAAAUUUAAUUUACAUUUUUUCUUUAAUUUUUUUCUUUUUAAUUUGAUUUAAGUUUAAAUGAAUAUUAAGGGGGAUAAACUCUUUUAUAAAUUUCUAUAAAAUAUAAUUUAUAUAAUAAAGUUAUGUGGAUUUAAUAGUGAUUAUCAUUAUAAAUAUGUUAAAAUUUUAUUUNUUUAUUAUUUAAUUUUAAAUAUUUUUAGAUUUGUACUGAAUUAUUUUAAUAAAUUUUUUUUUAAUUUUAAUUAUGAUUAAAUUAGUAUAUUAAUAUAUUUUAUAUAAUUUUUUAUUUGUAAGUAAGUUUGAGGAAUUAGGCAAAAAGUUUAUUCGCCUGUUUAACAAAAACAUCUUUUCUUGUAUUUGAAUAUGAAAUAUAACCUGCUCAAUGAAUUUUAAAUAGCCGCGGUAUAUUGACCGUGCAAAGGUAGCAUAAUCAUUAGUCUUUUAAUUGUAGGCUGGAAUGAAUGGUUGGACGAAAUAAUAACUUUCUUAAAUUUAUUAAUUUGAAUUUAAUUAUUGUGUUAAAAAGCUCAAAUUUUUUUUUGGGACGAGAAGACCCUAUAGAGUUUAAUAAUUAAUAUAUUUUUUAAUAUUNGAUGUUUUGGUAAUUAUAUUAAAUUAUUUUGUUGGGGUGAUGUAAANAUAUAAUAAACUCUUUUUAUUUGUUGUUUAUAAAUUAAUAUUUAUUUGAUCCAUUUUUAGUGAUUAAAAGAUUAAAUUACCUUAGGGAUAACAGCGUAAUCUUUUUUGAGAGUUCUUAUUGACAAUAAGGGUUGCGACCUCGAUGUUGGAUUAAGAUUAUUCUUGGGUGCAAAAGCUUAAGAUUUAGGUCUGUUCGACCUUUAAAUUCUUACAUGAUCUGAGUUCAAACCGGCGUGAGCCAGGUUGGUUUCUAUCUAUUAAUAAAUUUAUUAUUUUAGUACGAAAGGACCAAAUAAUAGAAAUAAUUUUAUUAACUUGAAUAAU